This 837-nucleotide ribosomal RNA is filed under the name Enterobacter cloacae. RNAcentral's name for it is "bacterial LSU rRNA". It matches the Rfam family "Bacterial large subunit ribosomal RNA", at positions 369 to 1212 of the family's 2925-position model. The record is from RNAcentral. Lineage: Bacteria; Pseudomonadati; Pseudomonadota; Gammaproteobacteria; Enterobacterales; Enterobacteriaceae.
AGUCCCGUACACGAAAACACACAGGCUGUGAACUCGAAGAGUAGGGCGGGACACGUGGUAUCCUGUCUGAAUAUGGGGGGACCAUCCUCCAAGGCUAAAUACUCCUGACUGACCGAUAGUGAACCAGUACCGUGAGGGAAAGGCGAAAAGAACCCCGGCGAGGGGAGUGAAAAAGAACCUGAAACCGUGUACGUACAAGCAGUGGGAGCACCUUCGGGUGUGACUGCGUACCUUUUGUAUAAUGGGUCAGCGACUUAUAUUCUGUAGCAAGGUUAACCGUAUAGGGGAGCCGAAGGGAAACCGAGUCUUAACUGGGCGUUAAGUUGCAGGGUAUAGACCCGAAACCCGGUGAUCUAGCCAUGGGCAGGUUGAAGGUUGGGUAACACUAACUGGAGGACCGAACCGACUAAUGUUGAAAAAUUAGCGGAUGACCUGUGGCUGGGGGUGAAAGGCCAAUCAAACCGGGAGAUAGCUGGUUCUCCCCGAAAGCUAUUUAGGUAGCGCCUCGUGAACUCAUCUUCGGGGGUAGAGCACUGUUUCGGCUAGGGGGCCAUCCCGGCUUACCAACCCGAUGCAAACUACGAAUACCGAAGAAUGUUAUCACGGGAGACACACGGCGGGUGCUAACGUCCGUCGUGAAGAGGGAAACAACCCAGACCGCCAGCUAAGGUCCCAAAGUCAUGGUUAAGUGGGAAACGAUGUGGGAAGGCCCAGACAGCCAGGAUGUUGGCUUAGAAGCAGCCAUCAUUUAAAGAAAGCGUAAUAGCUCACUGGUCGAGUCGGCCUGCGCGGAAGAUGUAACGGGGCUAAACCAUGCACCGAAGCUGCGGCAGCGAC